UACUGGCGGAUUUUUUUGUAAAAUGCCAAUCAGACAAUAUACUGAAACAAGUCAUCAUGAAAGCUGUUUUAUUAUUCUCAAUUGUUCUUGCACUCGCUGCUUUUGCUUGUAGUGCUUCCAUUGUUGUUGAUCCAUCGGUAGAUGUCUCUGGUGGACCCCAAGCGAGGUUCUGUGUCAUGUGGCAAUGCCGCGACUUCUGCAUCCGAAACGGUUUUAGGUACGGCAUAUGUACUGCCGGUGGCGCCUGUAUGUGUAGUAUUUGGUGAUAUUGAUACAGGGCACUGUUGUUCUUCAGACCAUUCCAAAAUUUCUUGUUUUACAAUCGAUAGCUAUAAAUAAAUGCAAUGU
Molecule: long non-coding RNA, 348 nt
Organism: Aricia agestis (brown argus)
Lineage: Eukaryota; Metazoa; Arthropoda; Insecta; Lepidoptera; Lycaenidae
Exons: 2
Source: RefSeq, a predicted model, not a curated record